GAUGAACGCUGGCGGCGUGCUUAACACAUGCAAGUCGAACGAUGAAGCCCAGCUUGCUGGGUGGAUUAGUGGCGAACGGGUGAGUAACACGUGAGUAACCUGCCCUUAACUCUGGGAUAAGCCUGGGAAACUGGGUCUAAUACCGAUAGGGAGCUUCCCCCGCAGGGUGGGUGUUGGAAAGAUUUAUCGGUUUUGGAUGGACUCGCGGCCUAUCAGCUUGUUGGUGAGGUAAUGGCUCACCAAGGCGACGACGGGUAGCCGGCCUGAGAGGGUGACCGGCCACACUGGGACUGAGACACGGCCCAGACUCCUACGGGAGGCAGCAGUGGGGAAUAUUGCACAAUGGGCGCAAGCCUGAUGCAGCGACGCCGCGUGAGGGAUGACGGCCUUCGGGUUGUAAACCUCUUUCAGUAGGGAAGAAGCGAAAGUGACGGUACCUGCAGAAGAAGCACCGGCUAACUACGUG
RNAcentral lists this ribosomal RNA (466 nucleotides) under uncultured bacterium. Its description in RNAcentral is "partial 16S ribosomal RNA". It matches the Rfam family "Bacterial small subunit ribosomal RNA", at positions 28 to 507 of the family's 1533-position model. The record is from RNAcentral.